Molecule: ribosomal RNA, 1354 nt
Filed under: Pseudomonas sp.
Lineage: Bacteria; Pseudomonadati; Pseudomonadota; Gammaproteobacteria; Pseudomonadales; Pseudomonadaceae
Description: bacterial SSU rRNA
Rfam family: Bacterial small subunit ribosomal RNA
Source: RNAcentral
UCAGAUUGAACGCUGGCGGCAGGCCUAACACAUGCAAGUCGAGCGGUAGAGAGAAGCUUGCUUCUCUUGAGAGCGGCGGACGGGUGAGUAAUGCCUAGGAAUCUGCCUGGUAGUGGGGGAUAACGUCCGGAAACGGACGCUAAUACCGCAUACGUCCUACGGGAGAAAGCAGGGGAUCUUCGGGCCUUGCGCUAUCAGAUGAGCCUAGGUCGGAUUAGCUAGUUGGUGGGGUAAUGGCUCACCAAGGCGACGAUCCGUAACUGGUCUGAGAGGAUGAUCAGUCACACUGGAACUGAGACACGGUCCAGACUCCUACGGGAGGCAGCAGUGGGGAAUAUUGGACAAUGGGCGAAAGCCUGAUCCAGCCAUGCCGCGUGUGUGAAGAAGGUCUUCGGAUUGUAAAGCACUUUAAGUUGGGAGGAAGGGCCAUUACCUAAUACGUGAUGGUUUUGACGUUACCGACAGAAUAAGCACCGGCUAACUCUGUGCCAGCAGCCGCGGUAAUACAGAGGGUGCAAGCGUUAAUCGGAAUUACUGGGCGUAAAGCGCGCGUAGGUGGUUUGUUAAGUUGGAUGUGAAAUCCCCGGGCUCAACCUGGGAACUGCAUUCAAAACUGACUGACUAGAGUAUGGUAGAGGGUGGUGGAAUUUCCUGUGUAGCGGUGAAAUGCGUAGAUAUAGGAAGGAACACCAGUGGCGAAGGCGACCACCUGGACUGAUACUGACACUGAGGUGCGAAAGCGUGGGGAGCAAACAGGAUUAGAUACCCUGGUAGUCCACGCCGUAAACGAUGUCAACUAGCCGUUGGGAGCCUUGAGCUCUUAGUGGCGCAGCUAACGCAUUAAGUUGACCGCCUGGGGAGUACGGCCGCAAGGUUAAAACUCAAAUGAAUUGACGGGGGCCCGCACAAGCGGUGGAGCAUGUGGUUUAAUUCGAAGCAACGCGAAGAACCCUACCAGGCCUUGACAUCCAAUGAACUUUCUAGAGAUAGAUUGGUGCCUUUGGGAACAUUGAGACAGGUGCUGCAUGGCUGUUGUCAGCUCGUGUCGUGAGAUGUUGGGUUAAGUUCCGUAACGAGCGCAACCCUUGUCCUUAGUUACCAGCACGUUAUGGUGGGCACUUUAAGGAGACUGCCGGUGACAAACCGGAGGAAGGGGGGGAUGACGUCAAGUCAUCAUGGCCCUUACGGCCUGGGCUACACACCUGCUACAAUGGUCGGUACAAAGGGUUGCCAAGCCGCGAGGUGGAGCUAAUCCCAUAAAACCGAUCGUAGUCCGGAUCGCAGUCUGCAACUCGACUGCGUGAAGUUGGAAUCGCUUGUAAUCGCGAAUCAGAAUGUCGCGGUGAAUACGUUC